RNAcentral lists this ribosomal RNA (395 nucleotides) under uncultured bacterium. RNAcentral describes it as "bacterial SSU rRNA". It matches the Rfam family "Bacterial small subunit ribosomal RNA", at positions 29 to 429 of the family's 1533-position model. The record is from RNAcentral.
AUUGAACGCUGGCGGCAUGCCUUACACAUGCAAGUCGAACGGCAGCGGGCCUUCGGGUGCCGGCGAGUGGCGAACGGGUGAGUAAUGCAUCGGAACGUGCCAUUGAGUGGGGGGAUAACGUAGCGAAAGUUACGCUAAUACCGCAUAUUCUGUGAGCAGGAAAGCAGGGGAUCGCAAGACCUUGCGCUCUGGGAGCGGCCGAUGUCGGAUUAGCUAGUUGGUGGGGUAAAGGCCUACCAAGGCGACGAUCCGUAGCGGGUCUGAGAGGAUGAUCCGCCACACUGGGACUGAGACACGGCCCAGACUCCUACGGGAGGCAGCAGUGGGGAAUUUUGGACAAUGGGCGCAAGCCUGAUCCAGCCAUGCCGCGUGAGUGAAGAAGGCCUCGGUGUAAG